Molecule: ribosomal RNA, 766 nt
Filed under: Rhizophagus clarus
Lineage: Eukaryota; Fungi; Glomeromycota; Glomeromycetes; Glomerales; Glomeraceae
Description: SSU rRNA
Rfam family: Eukaryotic small subunit ribosomal RNA
Source: RNAcentral
UGUGCUUAUUAUCGGGUGUGUUAUGGCACGAUNCCGGAGAGGGAGCCUGAGAAACGGCUACCACAUCCAGGAUGGCAGCAGGCGCGCAAAUUACCCAAUCCCGACACGGGGAGGUAGUGACAAUAAAUAACAAUACGGGGUUCUUUMGGAUCUCGUAAUUGGAAUGAGUACAAUUUAAAUCUCUUAACGAGGAACAAUUGGAGGGCAAGUCUGGUGCCAGCAGCCGCGGUAAUUCCAGCUCCAAUAGCGUAUAUUAAAGUUGUUGCAGUUAAAAAGCUCGUAGUUGAAUUUCGGGGUUAGUAGGUUGGUCGUGCCACCGGUAUGUACUGGUCUUACUGAUUCCUCCUUCCUGAAGAACCGUAAUGCCAUUAAUUUGGUGUUGCGGGGAAACAGGACUGUUACUUUGAAAAAAUUAGAGUGUUUAAAGCAGGCUAACGCUUGAAUACAUUAGCAUGGAAUAAUGAAAUAGGACGAUCGAUCCUAUUUUGUUGGUUUCUAGGAUUGACGUAAUGAUUAAUAGGGAUAGUUGGGGGCAUUAGUAUUCAAUUGUCAGAGGUGAAAUUCUUGGAUUUAUUGAAGACUAACUACUGCGAAAGCAUUUGCCAAGGAUGUUUUCAUUAAUCAAGAACGAAAGUUAGGGGAUCGAAGACGAUCAGAUACCGUCGUAGUCUUAACCAUAAACUAUGCCGACUAGGGAUCGGAUGAUGUUAAUUUUAUAAUGACUCAUUCGGCGCCUUACGGGAAACCAAUGUUUGNGGGGUUACAA